This 231-nucleotide long non-coding RNA is filed under the name Panax ginseng (ginseng). RNAcentral describes it as "long non-coding RNA (PGIN_LNC003104)". Lineage: Eukaryota; Viridiplantae; Streptophyta; Magnoliopsida; Apiales; Araliaceae. The record is from RNAcentral.
UCCUUCCAAAAUCUUCCUUGUUCGUUUUUCUCGAACUUCUUUUGAAAUACACUUUUCUGGAUUUGCGAUGACAUCUUGCCGUAAAUUGCAUUCUCCAAGAAAUACUCGAAUCCUUAUACUCCAAACAUUGUAAUUUGUGAACACUAAUUUGGCACAAAACUUAGGAAACAUCAUUUUUUUUUAUAAUUUACCUCACCAAAAAUGCUAUCAAUAUGACAACCUUUGUGACGU